UGUUUAAAGCAGCCGUAAGCAAAGUGGUUGCUCGCUCAUAGAAUGACUCAGAGAACUGAUCACUCCAUCCCUUUACACGAAACGACAUUCUGUUGAUUUUCCUAAGUUAUCUACAUCAACUAUGAAAAAUGUCAAAUUUUUUUGUAAGGAACCGUCUAGUAUAGACUAAGUAACUAACGCUUUAGAUCAAUUUCUUUACAAAAUUUUUAUUAAAUUCGGAUAGGGAAACGACAACUUCCAUACAGUGGCGGACAGUAAAUAAACAUCGAUAGGCUGGCUGAUGCACUAGUGCGGCAUACUGAACCUUGAUAUAGCCAAGAUAAGGAUAGGGUCGAUCGUACUGUAUAUGAACGAAGGUGUAUUAGAAUGCAU
Schizosaccharomyces pombe (fission yeast) is the source of this 372-nucleotide non-coding RNA. The record is from the annotation of a GenBank genome assembly. NCBI's taxonomy places the organism in Eukaryota, Fungi, Ascomycota, Schizosaccharomycetes, Schizosaccharomycetales, Schizosaccharomycetaceae.